RNAcentral lists this ribosomal RNA (253 nucleotides) under uncultured bacterium. RNAcentral's name for it is "partial 16S ribosomal RNA". It matches the Rfam family "Bacterial small subunit ribosomal RNA", at positions 524 to 776 of the family's 1533-position model. The record is from RNAcentral.
UACGGAGGGGGCUAGCGUUGUUCGGAAUUACUGGGCGUAAAGGGCGCGUAGGCGGCGACCCAAGUCAGAUGUGAAAGUCCUGGGCUUAACCUGGGGACUGCAUUUGAUACUGGGUUGCUUGAAUUCGGGAGAGGAUAGCGGAAUUCCCAGUGUAGAGGUGAAAUUCGUAGAUAUUGGGAAGAACACCGGUGGCGAAGGCGGCUAUCUGGACCGACAUUGACGCUGAGGCGCGAAAGCGUGGGGAGCAAACAGG